GUACCGAGGACUGCGAAUAACAUUGACCAGUAAUGUAAACACCAAAAUAUUAUAAAAUUACCCAAUGGUGAUUUUUACAAAUGGAAAUAACAAAACACUCCCAGGUUACAUUUUUCUUACAUACACAAUAUUAUAUUAAAAUAUCUAUGUAUUUUUUGAAAGCAAAAUAGUAAUUUAGUCCCAUCAUACCUCAAAAUGCUAAACUAUAUAAUGCUAUAUUAUAUUUUAUAAAAUUACAAGCAAAGUUGGAAUAUUCUAGGCAAUAAAUAUAAUAAUAAAUACAAUUUUCUGGAUAGAGAAGCAGACUGUUUUCAAAGCCUGGAUGGUCUAACUUUUUUCUUGUACUGAUAACUAAACUUUGGCAUUGUGCACCAUGCCCAAUUUCCUACUUUACUUGCAUCAUUAUACACAUACAUAUAAUUAUGUACAUGUAUGCAAUAUCAAUAAUUAAAAUUUAAUAUUUACUCAACACACAACAAAUACUUAUAAUGCAUUUGCUUUAAUUCAUAAACUAGGCAUAACUGUAUGAUGUAUAAAAUAAUAUUGAAAUUUUAUGCAGAAGUUGUCACUAGAAACGGCACUGAAGCAGGAGUAUAACAUAUGAGUGAUUAGGUAAUUUAUAUUGCUCAAAAACAAUUGUUUAUAAUUUAUUUAUCAUUAAAUAAGUUUUUAAAAAUAAGUAAGAAAAAGGUUUGUAUUUGAAAGACUUCUCAUAAAUGUUAAGAUAGGUAACAAAUAAAGGAGAUAGAUUUUCUGACAAUUUUGUUUUUCUGUUCAUCAUUCUCCCCUAGAAGAAAAUCAUUAACAUACCACUCAAGUGGUGUCACAGUAUAAUAAAAAAUGGCCCAUAAAUUCAGUUUUUAAUGCAAAAGGUUAAUGGGCAAGGUUAAAAUAUACUAAAAGUCAACAUUUUUAUUUAAUAAAAACUGAUGUUUAUACAUUUUAGAUACCUCAAUAAGAGUAAAAAAAAAAAAGUUACUUCUGCUUAAUAAUUUAUCUAAACAGACAAUAUUGAGAAACAUUAUUUCAAAAUAAUCAUUUGAGAAAUUAUUUGUAUAGUAAUAUAUAGUUUAAUAUUAAUUAUACCAAUGGUUCUCAAAUAAUUUUAUUCUACGACCCUUUGUAGAUUUUUAAAAAUUUCGCCCCCUCCUUUUUUUAACAAAUAUAUAAAUUUUAAUUUUAAAACAAGAAAUAUAAUUUAUUUUAUUCUUAAUGUAUAAGAUAAAAUGGUUAAUUUUCCCUAGAUUAGUCACAAUUUUCAAUGAAUAGAUAUUUAAAUUCUCUUAGGUUAACAUAACUUAACAUUGGGAAGUAAAGUAGUGCUAAAUAGUUCUACUCCUGUGUUAUGAAUCAAGUGGGUGCAAUGUGCUUCUCCUCACUUUCUUGUGAAAAAAAAUGAAUCUAACUAAUCUUUGCUGAAAGUGGCCAAGUUUCUUAAGACUCAGUAAUAGGUUUAAAUACAAUAAAAUACGAAAUGUGGCUAUUUAAAAAAGGGAGUUCCUUCUGAUUAGAGUGCAAUCAACUCUCUGGUAGGUAAUUAUAUCAUAAUUAUUAUCUACACAAGCCAAUGCAUUAAAUAAUAUCAGUUUUAUCUCUUUUGGUUAAUUAGUUCGCAUUCAUGCCUUUAAAGUGGACAAUAUUCUACGAAACUGCCGGAAUAAUGCCUAAUUUAAAAAUCGAACAGCGUGUUAAUUUAAAAUUUCUCUUUAAAUUAAAAAUAUCGCCCACAGAAUGUCUAAAGAUGUUGACUGAGGUGUACAGGAAGGACACAAUGUCACAUACUCGAGUUUUUGAAUGGCAUAAAAGAUUUAAAGAUGGGUGAGAAGCAAGUCCAAAUUGAAGGUGAUGCUUAUCGUUUUUUUUGAUAUUAAGGGCAUAAUUAUGAUCGAAUGGGUUCCUCAAAGUCAAACAGUUAAUCAAAAAUAUUAUAUUGAGGUUCUCAUUAAGCUCAGGGAAAGAGUUUGGAAAAUAGGUCAGGUUUGUGGAAGAACAAUACGAGGAUUCUGCAUCAAGACAAUGCGCCUGCACACAAUGCUUUUUCUGUUAAGCAGUUUUUAGUCAAUAAACGCAUUCCAGUACUGGAGGAUCCUCCAUAUUCGCCAGAUUUAGCACCCUGCGACUUCCAAAAAUAAAAACUGCGUUGAAGGGGACUCAUUUUCAAUCCAUGGAAGAGGCGAAGACUAAAGGGGUAGACCUACUUAAGGGCUGGAUAUCUGAAGAAUUGCAACACUGCUUUGAACAAUGGAGAACACGUAUGGAACGAUGUAUAGUAAUGAGUGGGGAGUAUAUAGAAGGGGAUCACAUUAUUAAUUGUAAUUUUACAAAUAAAUUAUUUUUAUAACGAAAAUCCCGUUUUUAAAUAGCCACACCUCGUAUUAUGUUGUAUAAGCAAAUCUAAACUAGGAGUUAUAGAAUUACAAUUCAAUAACUCCUUUAAAACAUUUAUCUAAGCAAAAAUAAAAUUAAUGCUUAAUAGCUAUUAUUAAAUUCAAGCAGAUAACAUUUUGGUAAUUUUUAAUAAGCAAAGCAUAGUUUAAAAAAAUG
RNAcentral lists this long non-coding RNA (2544 nucleotides) under Cinara cedri. The record is from RNAcentral. Lineage: Eukaryota; Metazoa; Arthropoda; Insecta; Hemiptera; Aphididae.